Long non-coding RNA from Heterocephalus glaber (naked mole-rat), 384 nucleotides. The record is from Ensembl. NCBI's taxonomy places the organism in Eukaryota, Metazoa, Chordata, Mammalia, Rodentia, Bathyergidae.
UGAUGGUGUGGGCGUGUCACCGGGCCUGGGGAGGGUCGGGGGGGCAAGGUCGGCUGCAGGCGGAUGUAUCUUCCCUGGACUGUAGGGUGUGCGGGUCCGAAGGGGGCGAGACCCCAUCAUUAGCCUCAUCGUAUGCCCUCCCUUUCCUAGUUUUCAGUUUCAGAAAGCUCAGCAGUGCCAGUCACUACGGAGGCUUCCUGGGACAUAUCCCAACACUAAGAGAAAAAGAGGUUUUGUAGUGUCCAGAUCCAAGGGCAUCUCCCAGCUGGAGGAGAAGGAGAUGCCAUGGCCCUGCUGGGGUCUUUAUAUCCAGUGCCAUCCAGAUGCUGCAAAGAUGAGUAUGAGAAAGCCUGUGCCUCAGUAUCUCACAGGCCAGUCAGAGAG